GACGAACGCUGGCGGCGUGCUUAACACAUGCAAGUCGAGCGGUAAGGCCCUUUCGGGGGUACACGAGCGGCGAGCGGGUGAGUAACACGUGGGUGACCUGCCCUCAGCUCUGGGAUAAGCCUGGGAAACCGGGUCUAAUACCGGAUAUGACUCCAUGACGCAUGUUGUGGGGUGGAAAGCCUCGUGCGGCUGAGGAUGGGCCCGCGGCCUAUCAGCUUGUUGGUGGGGUGANGGCCUACCAAGGCGACGACGGGUAGCCGGCCUGAGAGGGCGACCGGCCACACUGGGACUGAGACACGGCCCAGACUCCGUACGGGAGGCAGCAGGUGGGGAAUCUUGCGCAAGUGGGACGAAAGCCUGACGCAGCGACGCCGCGUGAGGGAUGACGGCC
RNAcentral lists this ribosomal RNA (391 nucleotides) under uncultured bacterium. RNAcentral's name for it is "bacterial SSU rRNA". It matches the Rfam family "Bacterial small subunit ribosomal RNA", at positions 28 to 416 of the family's 1533-position model. The record is from RNAcentral.